GACGCAUGCAGGUGGUUUGUUAAGUCAGAAUCGUGAAAACCCGGGGCUCAACCUCGGAAUAGCAAUUUGAAAACUGGCAGACUAGAGUACUAGUAGAGGGGGUAGAAUUUCAGGUGUAGCGGUGAAAUGCGUAGAGAUCUGAAGGAAUACCGGUGGCGAAGGCGGCCCCCUUGGACAGAUACUGACACUCAGAUGACGAAAGCGUGGGGAGCAAACAGGAUUAGAUACCCUGGUAG
This 236-nucleotide ribosomal RNA is filed under the name uncultured bacterium. Its description in RNAcentral is "partial 16S ribosomal RNA". It matches the Rfam family "Bacterial small subunit ribosomal RNA", at positions 567 to 793 of the family's 1533-position model. The record is from RNAcentral.